AACUAACGCUGGCGGCAUGCCUAACACAUGCAAGUCGAACGAGACCUUCGGGUCUAGUGGCGCACGGGUGCGUAACGCGUGGGAACCUGCCCUUAGGUUCGGAAUAACUCCCCGAAAGGGGUGCUAAUACCGGAUAAUGUCUUCGGACCAAAGAUUUAUCGCCUUUGGAUGGGCCCGCGUUGGAUUAGCUAGUUGGUAGGGUAAAAGCCUACCAAGGCGACGAUCCAUAGCUGGUCUGAGAGGAUGAUCAGCCACACUGGGACUGAGACACGGCCCAGACUCCUACGGGAGGCAGCAGUGGGGAAUAUUGGACAAUGGGCGAAAGCCUGAUACAGCAAUGCCGCGUGAGUGAUGAAGGCCUUAGGGUUGUAAAGCUCUUUUACCCGGGAUGAUAAUGACAGUACCGGGAGAAUAAGCUCCGGCUAACUCCGUG
RNAcentral lists this ribosomal RNA (433 nucleotides) under uncultured bacterium. Its description in RNAcentral is "partial 16S ribosomal RNA". It matches the Rfam family "Bacterial small subunit ribosomal RNA", at positions 29 to 507 of the family's 1533-position model. The record is from RNAcentral.